GCUGGAGUUCCUUCUGCCGAACAAUUUCUAUUCAUCUUUGGAGACCAUAGCACUGCUCAGCUCUGGUUUAUGGCAGUGCCAGUGUUGAACUUAGGACCUUCGGACCUCAGGCAGCCUGCUAACAAGACAAGUACAUACUGUUGAGCCGUGUUUGCCAUUAGCUGUCCACUCUUCACAUUCUCAGUGUCGUCAAAGG
Molecule: long non-coding RNA, 196 nt
Organism: Erinaceus europaeus (western European hedgehog)
Lineage: Eukaryota; Metazoa; Chordata; Mammalia; Eulipotyphla; Erinaceidae
Exons: 3
Source: RefSeq, a predicted model, not a curated record